Molecule: small nucleolar RNA, 139 nt
Organism: Ornithorhynchus anatinus (platypus)
Lineage: Eukaryota; Metazoa; Chordata; Mammalia; Monotremata; Ornithorhynchidae
Source: RefSeq, a predicted model, not a curated record
CACCUCUCAGGGUUGCACCUGGAGAGUUUCCAGUACUCUACCAGUCUCCACAAUGAGAGGAAGAGCCAAGCAGAGGCACAGCCAUUCCAUUCCUAGCUUUGGGCAAUGGCUAGCGAGCGGAAGGCAAUCCGCUACAAGU